GGUCCCGUAGUGUAGUGGUUAACACGCCUGCCUGUCACGCAGGAGAUCGCGGGUUCGAGUCCCGUCGGGACCGCCA
RNAcentral lists this transfer RNA (76 nucleotides) under Parageobacillus thermoglucosidasius. RNAcentral describes it as "tRNA-Asp". It matches the Rfam family "tRNA". Rfam says of the family: Transfer RNA (tRNA) molecules are approximately 80 nucleotides in length. Their secondary structure includes four short double-helical elements and three loops (D, anti-codon, and T loops). The record is from RNAcentral. RNAcentral also lists the same sequence under 23 other names. Lineage: Bacteria; Bacillati; Bacillota; Bacilli; Caryophanales; Anoxybacillaceae.